Long non-coding RNA from Cebus imitator (Panamanian white-faced capuchin), 508 nucleotides. RefSeq lists it as uncharacterized. The transcript has 3 exons. The record is from RefSeq and is a predicted model, not a curated record. NCBI's taxonomy places the organism in Eukaryota, Metazoa, Chordata, Mammalia, Primates, Cebidae.
UCCAGCCCACACUGCCUCUCCUCAAAGGGAGAAAGGGCAUUGCCGCUGAUCUCACCUCCACCCUUCCCCGUCGGUGGUGGUGGGCCAGGCUCUCUGAAAGAGUGAUCAUGUGUUUAAUUAUUAGCUUUGCCACCUUGCACCUGCUUGCCCGCUUGCUCAGUCACGUCCCCCUCGUCGGCCACGUUCUCCACGCAGCUGCGUCAGCCUCCCAAGAUGCAGAGUGAAAUGCAAUGGCUGGAGCCCCAGCAGUUACCGCGGACCAUGAGGUGACCUUAGGCAUGAAACCAGUGCGGCACAGAACAACUGAGAGAAGGAACCUGAUUCAUCGACAUUCUGGGGCACCAUACCAGCCCAGACAGCUCCUCAGAAUGUCUUGGACACAACAGAGAAGUAAACGUCUAUGCUGCUUAAACUACCGUUGUUUUUUUUUUUUCUAUUACUCGUAAUUAGACAUAAUCUAACGAAUACAAGUCUCUAAUGAAGGUGCCCUUUAGAGGCCACAUAGAUU